This 249-nucleotide ribosomal RNA is filed under the name uncultured Latescibacterota bacterium. Its description in RNAcentral is "uncultured Latescibacteria bacterium partial 16S ribosomal RNA". It matches the Rfam family "Bacterial small subunit ribosomal RNA", at positions 1134 to 1382 of the family's 1533-position model. The record is from RNAcentral. Lineage: Bacteria; Pseudomonadati; Candidatus Latescibacterota.
AACGUCUGGGGAGGACUGCCGGUGAUAAACCGGAGGAAGGCGGGGAUGACGUCAAGUCCUCAUGGCCCUUACAUCCCGGGCUACACACGUGCUACAAUGGCAGGUACAGAGGGCUGCGAAGCCGCGAGGUGGAGCGAAUCCCAGAAAACCUGUCUCAGUCCGGAUUGAAGUCUGCAACUCGGCUUCAUGAAGGCGGAAUCGCUAGUAACCGCGAAUCAGCAGGUCGCGGUGAAUACGUUCCCGGGCCUU